CCCGUGGUAGCUCAGCCUGGUAGAGCUUCCGGCUGUAGUGGUUGGCUCUGGCUAGCCUUCUCAGCCUACUAGGCUAACAUAGAUACCGGACUGUCGCAGGUUCAAAUCCUGCCCACGGGA
Molecule: transfer RNA, 120 nt
Filed under: Candidatus Nitrosocaldaceae archaeon
Lineage: Archaea; Thermoproteati; Nitrososphaerota; Nitrososphaeria; Candidatus Nitrosocaldales; Candidatus Nitrosocaldaceae
Description: tRNA-Tyr
Rfam family: tRNA
About the family: Transfer RNA (tRNA) molecules are approximately 80 nucleotides in length. Their secondary structure includes four short double-helical elements and three loops (D, anti-codon, and T loops).
Source: RNAcentral